Molecule: small nuclear RNA, 197 nt
Organism: Pistacia vera
Lineage: Eukaryota; Viridiplantae; Streptophyta; Magnoliopsida; Sapindales; Anacardiaceae
Product: U2 spliceosomal RNA
Exons: 1
Source: RefSeq, a predicted model, not a curated record
AUACCUUUCUCGGCCUUUUGGCUAAGAUCAAGUGUAGUAUCUGUUCUUAUCAGUUUAAUAUCUGAUACGUGGGACAAUGUCCCACAUGAUAUUAAAUUUAUUUUUUUAAGGGGGAGGGUUCACUACAGUGGCUUGCCACUGGAGCCCUCGAGUGUCGCCUUUGCGUUGCACUACUGCUCGGGCCUGGCGCACCCCAC